GGUUAAGCGACUAAGCGUACACGGUGGAUGCCCUGGCAGUCAGAGGCGAUGAAGGACGUGCUAAUCUGCGAUAAGCGUCGGUAAGGUGAUAUGAACCGUUAUAACCGGCGAUUUCCGAAUGGGGAAACCCAGUGUGAUUCGUCACACUAUCAUUAACUGAAUCCAUAGGUUAAUGAGGCGAACCGGGGGAACUGAAACAUCUAAGUACCCCGAGGAAAAGAAAUCAACCGAGAUUCCCCCAGUAGCGGCGAGCGAACGGGGAGCAGCCCAGAGCCUGAAUCAGUGUGUGUGUUAGUGGAAGCGUCUGGAAAGGCGCGCGAUACAGGGUGACAGCCCCGUACACAAAAAUGCACAUGCUGUGAGCUCGAUGAGUAGGGCGGGACACGUGA
This 389-nucleotide ribosomal RNA is filed under the name Escherichia coli O26:H11 str. CFSAN001629. RNAcentral describes it as "bacterial LSU rRNA". It matches the Rfam family "Bacterial large subunit ribosomal RNA", at positions 1 to 429 of the family's 2925-position model. Lineage: Bacteria; Pseudomonadati; Pseudomonadota; Gammaproteobacteria; Enterobacterales; Enterobacteriaceae. The record is from RNAcentral.